This 305-nucleotide ribosomal RNA is filed under the name uncultured bacterium. Its description in RNAcentral is "bacterial SSU rRNA". It matches the Rfam family "Bacterial small subunit ribosomal RNA", at positions 333 to 656 of the family's 1533-position model. The record is from RNAcentral.
UGUGCCCUACGGGGGGCAGUAGUGGGGGAUAUUGCACAAUGGGGGGAACCCUGAUGCAGCGACGCCGCGUGGGUGAAGAAGCGCCUCGGCGCGUAAAGCCCUGUCAGCAGGGAAGAAAAUGACGGUACCUGAAGAAGAAGCCCCGGCUAACUACGUGCCAGCAGCCGCGGUAAUACGGAGGAUGCGAGCGUUAUCCGGAUUUAUUGGGUUUAAAGGGUGCGUAGGCGGAACAUUAAGUCAGCGGUAAAAUCGAGGGGCUCAACCCCUUUAAGCCGUUGAAACUGGUGAUCUUGAGUGGGCGAGAG